AUGAGAGAUAUGAAUGAGAUUAUGUAUCCUUUUGAGAAAGAUGGUGGGAACCCGAGACUACCACAGUUUAUGCAAGCCUUUAAAACUGCUUUAGAGGACUGUAACAUGACAGAUUUUGGGUAUGAUGGGGAGAAGUUCACAUAGCACAAAGGUCGAAUUCGUGAAAGGCUAGAUCGGGCCCUAACAAAUGAGGCGUGGAAUAGUAAAUUUGAGAAUGUUGUUUUGACAAAUCUGGAAUACAGUAAGUCUGAUCACAGACCGAUUGUAAUGAACCUUCAUAUAAAUAAUAUUCAAGAGAACCAUGGGCUGGCAGUGUUGAGGUUUGAGGCGAAGUGGCUGAAAGAAGCACACUUUCGACAGGUGGUUCAGGAGGCCUGGGAGAGGGCGGGAGCCCAGAAUUCAAAUAGCAUUCUUGCCGAGAAACUUGUUCUGGUCAUUGAAACUUGCUCUGGUCCAUGA
RNAcentral lists this ribosomal RNA (459 nucleotides) under Triticum aestivum (bread wheat). Its description in RNAcentral is "partial small subunit ribosomal RNA". The record is from RNAcentral. Lineage: Eukaryota; Viridiplantae; Streptophyta; Magnoliopsida; Poales; Poaceae.